Long non-coding RNA from Acanthochromis polyacanthus (spiny chromis), 3256 nucleotides. RefSeq lists it as uncharacterized. The transcript has 3 exons. Lineage: Eukaryota; Metazoa; Chordata; Actinopteri; Pomacentridae. The record is from RefSeq and is a predicted model, not a curated record.
CACAACAAAUACACAACAAAUACACAACACACACACACAGGAGAGGUUCUCCAUAGCGCUGGUAGGUCCAAACACACAACAAAUACACAACAAAUACACAACACACACACAGAAGAGGUUCUCCAUGGCGCUGGUAGGUCCAAACACACAACAAAUACACAACAAAUACACAACACACACACAGAAGAGGUUCUCCAUGGCGCUGGUAGGUCCAAACACACAACAAAUACACAACAAAUACACAACACACACACAGAAGAGGUUCUCCAUGGCGCUGGUAGGUCCAAACACACAACAAAUACACAACAAAUACACAACAAAUACACAACACACACACAGAAGAGGUUCUCCAUGGCGCUGGUAGGUCCAAACACACAACAAAUACACAACAAAUACACAACACACACACAGAAGAGGUUCUCCAUGGCGCUGGUAGGUCCAAACACACAACAAAUACACAACAAAUACACAACACACACACAGAAGAGGUUCUCCAUGGCGCUGGUAGGUCCAAACACACAACAAAUACACAACACACACACAGGAGAGGUUCUCCAUGGCGCUGGUAGGUCCAAACACACAACAAAUACACAACAGAUACACAACAGAUACACAACACACACACAGGAGAGGUUCUCCAUGGCGCUGGUAGGUCCAAACACACAACAAAUACACAACAGAUACACAACACACACACACAGGAGAGGUUCUCCAUGGCGCUGGUAGGUCCAAACACACAACAAAUACACAACACACACACAGGAGAGGUUCUCCAUGGCGCUGGUAGGUCCAAACACACAACAAAUACACAACACACACACAGGAGAGGUUCUCCAUGGCGCUGGUAGGUCCAAACACACAACAAAUACACAACACACACACAGGAGAGGUUCUCCAUGGCGCUGGUAGGUCCAAACACACAACAAAUACACAACACACACACAGGAGAGGUUCUCCAUGGCGCUGGUAGGUCCAAACACACAACAAAUACACAACACACACACAGGAGAGGUUCUCCAUGGCGCUGGUAGGUCCAAACACACAACAAAUACACAACACACACACAGGAGAGGUUCUCCAUGGCGCUGGUAGGUAAAAAUACACAACAAAUACACAAUAAACACAACAAACACACAAUAUAUACACAAUAUAGACAAGAGAGGUUCUCCAUAGGCCUGGUAGGUAGAAAUACACUAUAAAUAAACAAUAUAUACAUUAUAUAUACACUAUACACACAGGACGAGUCCUCUGUAGUCCUAGCACAUCACAAUAGACACAAUAAAUACACACAACAUACACACACCUGGAUUUACCUGAGCCUACAGGUGAGAUCCUCCCAUUGAAUAAUGACUGCAGUGAUGAAACAUCUUCUUUAACUGUAGCUGAUUCUCAUUUCUAAGCCACCGUGUUGUAGACAUGUCCUGUGGUCAUAAGGGAUGUUAAUCAUCUCAGAGUGGUCACAUGAUUGGACUGCUUCAGGCAAAGAAACAACUAAGGAGAUGAAACGACGAAAACCAGGUUAAGAGCCAUCCAACAAUCAUUAGAACCUGAAGGAUGGUGGAGAACCUUCAUCUUCAGGAACAAACUCUGAGAUGAUUGAAGGAACAUUUUAAGUUUAGGACUGGUUUAAUGCUGGCUUAAGACUGGUUUAAAAGUGGUUUAGGACUAGUUUAAAAGUGGUUUAGGACUAAUUUAGGACUGGUUAAUGACUAGUUUAAUACUGGUUUAGGACUGGUUUAACACUGGUUUAAUACUGGUUUAGGACUGGUUUAAUACUGAUUUAAUACUGGUUUAGGACUGGUUUAGGACUGGUUUAGAGCUGGUUAAGAGCUGGUUUAGGACUGAUUUAGGACUGGUUAAUGACUAGUUUAAUACUGGUUUAGGACUGGUUUAGGACUGGUUUAAUACUGGUUUAAUAUUGGUUUAGGACUGGUUUAGACCUGGUUAAGAGCUGGUUUAGGACUGUUUAGGGCUGGUUUAGGACUGGUUUAGAGCUGGUUUAGACCUGGUUAAGAGCUGGUUUAGGACUGUUUAGGACUGGUUUAGGACUGGUUUAAUACUGGUUAAUUACUGGUUUAGGACUGGUUUAGACCCGGUUAAGAGCUGGUUUAGGACUGUUUAGAGCUGGUUUAGGACUGGUUUAGAGCUGGUUUAGGACUGGUUUAGGACUGGUUUAAAAGUGGUUUCGGACUGGUUUUACAAUGUCUUGGACAGUUUUAGGAGUAGUUUAUGUUUGAGCUUGGUCCUGGUUUAUAACUUUGUGAGGACUGGUUUCAGACUGUCUUAGGCAGGUCUUGGACUUUUUUUAACCCCAAGAACACCAAACCUACCAUCAGCCAUGGAGGUGGCAGUAUCAUGCUCUGUGGAACUGGAGCUUUACACAAAGUAAAUGGAAUAAUGAAGAAAGAGGAUCACCUCCACGUUCUUCAGGAGAACCUAAAACCAUCAGCAGAAGGUUGAUCUUGGACACAGUUGGAUGUUUCAACCAGACAAUGAGUCCAAACACAGAUCAGAUGUGGUAAAGAAAUGGUUCCAUCAGGAUACAAUGAAGGUUCUAGACUGGUCUCCCCAAAGUGACUUAAACCAUCAAGAACCUGAAGAACCAAGUCAGUAAUACAACAAAUGUAGAUGAACGACACCAGAACUGGUUCCAAUACAUUUGUCGUCUUUCUGUCUCAGACUUGAGUCAAUUAAAUUGAUAGUGUAAUGAUACUGCCACUUCCAUGCCUGAUGGUAGGUAUAGAGUCCAGAGGAGUUAAAGAGAAACCAGAAGAUGGGGGCAUUAGGGUAAAAAGAGAGGUGGAUGAAGUGAUGCACUCAUCAUAGCUAGUGUCUACAAAUCUUGGUGGCCUCCCUCACUAGUCACUUCCUUCUUCAGAGGAGUCAUAGGAGUCUUCGUGGCCUCCCUCACUAGUCUCUUUCUCCUUCAGAGGAGUCAUAGGAGUCUUGGUGACCUCCCUCUCUAGUCUCUUUCUCCUUCAGAGGAGUCAUAGGAGUCUUGGUGACCUCCCUCUCUAGUCUCUUUCUCCUUCAGAGGAGUCAUAGGAGUCUUGGUGACCUCCCUCUCUAGUCUCUUUCUCCUUCAGAGGAGUCAUAGGAGUCUUGGUGACCUCCCUCUCUGGUCUCUUUCUCCUUCAGAGGAGUCAUAGGAGUCUUGGUGGCCUCCCUCUCUCGUCUCUUUCUCCUUCAGAGGAGUCAUAGGAGUCUUGGUGGCCUCCCUCACUAGUCUCAGAUGUAUUCAGGUUCUAUGUUCUUC